Homo sapiens (human) is the source of this 1074-nucleotide long non-coding RNA. Ensembl annotates it as long intergenic non-protein coding RNA 1182. The record is from Ensembl. Lineage: Eukaryota; Metazoa; Chordata; Mammalia; Primates; Hominidae.
GGCAACCACCAGAGGCCAGAAAGAGCAACAGAAAAUGGGCUAAGACAUGGAGCAAGGGGCAGAACGACUCUUGAAGAUGCUGAGCAACUUCUGCUCAGCCACUUGGGUCUCCUUUGCCAAGGAGUGUCCUCCCUCUGGAACUCAAUACCAGCUCUUUCUUCUUCUGGAAUCUUCUCUCAGCUCUUUUAAGGAACUCAGAAGAGAAGUACCCCAUCUCUGGUUGGAAAACACUCCAGGAGAGGCAGCUUCAAGGAGAUGGCAUGUGGAUGGAAAUGUUUAGCAAGAGCAAGCUUUAUCCUGGUCAGGGGCAGUCAGUGGGCAUUCUAGGCAGAGGGAGUGGCCCUGGAAAAGGGGAGAAGCUUAUAAAGUUGAUUCACUGACUGCUGGUUUGAAAUGGUGUCUGCUAACAAACAGUUGCUGGUACAGCUUCUCUGUAAUGUGAGGUAAAAUACCUAUAAAAGCUUAGAAGAAGAUGUAAACUCAGAACACAGCCAUAAACUUGGACUGACAAUCCCCUGAAGACUGGAUCUGGGAGGACUUUUUGCCAAUAGUACUGCCAAUGAAACUGAAAAGAAAAGAACAUUCUAUGGGUGUGGGUGUGUUACUGAGGAAAUGCUCUGUAGGCAAGAGUUUGCUCUGCUUAAUGAAAAAAAGUUUCAACUACAGUGCUGUUCUGUGAAGGGGAAUGGGUGCUGGAGAGCUAAGCAGGAAGCAGGAGGCAGGAGGGACUGUCUGCAGCAAUCAGCAGCCUACUCAACAUGGAGACGAUGAGGAUGAAGACCUUUAUGAUGAUCCACUUCCACUUAGUAAAUAUGAGGACAACAUGGAAUGAUCCCUAAGGUGGAGCAGGAAGCUGUCAAGAGAGGGGAAAAGGUGAAGGAUUCCUGGAGGCUGCUCAGCAAUCCAUCUAAGACAAAAUGCAAAAGAACCUCUUAAAGAUCUUUCCCUACACUGGUGGCCUGGGGAACAAAUCACAUUUGGAGAAUUGAAGAAAUCUUAAAAUGCAAGCAUAUUAAGCCCUUUUCCCCCAAAUCACUUAAGGUAUCUAAUACUUAUUAAAUAAUUAUAUGUGCA